AUUCUCAUUGCUUUCUCAUAAAAUUUAGGCAGCCUCGUCUGAGACUGAAAAACGCGAGCAAACCCAAAGCAUCACUUUGUAUUGCACAUAAGGCCUCAGCCCUUUCCUCGCUCAGCAGAGUCUGUGGGGAGGGGGCGGGGACGCUCUACUGAUAAUACCAGCUUUAACUACUGGAGUUUCCCUUUGAACAAAUAUUCAAUUUAACUGGAGUUAAUUUACCAUAAAAGACAUUCCUCUUGGCACGAAUGCACUCACGUCCUUGAACACACCUCUUUGAGUGCCUGGACUCUCACAGAAGCCAUUAUUUGGGAUCUCUUUAAAAAUCCAGUUCUCUCUCUCUCUCUCUCUCUCUCUCUCUCUCUCUCUCUCUUUCUCUCUCCCUCCCCUCUCUCCUCUCUCUCUUUCUCUCUCUCUGUCUCUCUCAGUCUCUCUCUCUCUCUCUCUCUCUCUCUCUCUCUCUCUCUCUCUCUCUCUCUCUCCUGUCUCCCCUCCUCUGUCUCUCCCUCCCCACCACACUACCCCCAGUGAAAUCCUGGCACCCAGAGAGCACUCUUUUCAGCCAGAGCCCAGAACCAGCCGUUGUCCCUUGGCAAAAGAGGCCCAGUGCUGAGCUAUGGGCAAAUGUCUCCAGACAGUGCUACCCCUCCUCCCCUUAUUACUUUCCUUUCCCUACAGAAACCAUUUCCUUUUGCCAACAAAACUAGGUUGCAUCCAAAAGUUUCUCCCAAGCUUAAAAAAGAGAAAAGGGGAGAGAGAAAUUGACAACCAUUACACAGAAGAAUUCACAAAAGCUGCAAGCAACACCAGGGGCAAAGAAGCAGCGUCAGAUCCAGGUUGUUCAUUGCCCAAGGAUAUCUGAUGCAUGUGUAGCUGAGAUCGGAACUGAUUCCCAAGGAGAAUGGACAGCUCUAUUUACAGUUCACAGAAAAGUGGCACAUGGAAGCUGGAAUGCCUCAAAAAGGGAAAAGAUGAAACACAUUCCCAUAUCCAUGUCCUCUAAGUGUAGAGGGUUUCAGUGAAAACAGAGAAGCAGAGAGAAGAGCAAGAUGAUCAGAAGUGCUGAGGAGGAACCUGAGGGAUUUUGCCCCUUCUGACAUCUGCUGCAAUAUCAAUCCUCUUCAUGGUUGUUAAGGCCAUGAUAAAACAGGAAAACAGCACCGGAAGCCAGGGAAGCGUGGACAUGGAAUGAUCUGCAGAGCAGACAAUAAGACCGGUGACAAGAGGAAGUCAGAGGUACUUUUAUGUGUUCAUUCACCUAACAAAUGGAACUGGGGGCCCUCACUGUGGCUCACAGCCUUGUUCAGUUCUGGUUCAACUUCAGAGGAAGACAAAGAGCGAGAAGGAGAGAAGGACUCAGCACCGGCAGGCCAGGCCAGGUGCUCCUAGCCAGUGAGUGCUUCCAGAUGCACUGAUAGGUCCUCCACAACACUGCUUGAGAAACAUAGCUUAGCCAGCUAGCCAGAGACUGCUUUGGAGGCAAAAAGAAAAGGAAAAAAGAAAAGAAAAUCAGUCAUUUUGACAAGGUCAAAAUACCAAGAAAACAGCAUUCCCAAUUGGGAAGUUGUGGGUCAGCACCAGAGUUCAUUGAACAUGCUCUUUGCUUCUCCUUUCUUAGGCUUUCAGCUGCAAGGAGAUUCUAUGUCCUGGAGGACUGUUAACACUGUAUGCAUCUGUGUGUCUGAGUGUGUGCACAUGCUGUGUGUGUGUGUGUGUGUGUGUGUGUGUGUGUGUGUAAGUGGUUGGAUACUGGGUAAGGUUGAUUUUAAAUAAGGGUCUUCUCUCUCUUGACUUUUGAAAAGUUUGGAAACUACAGGAGAGAAUGAAAUAAUAGAGAUAAAUAAGUCAUCUAAGAACAAACUAUCCCAGGCAGUGUAUGGGCAUAGAAGGAAUAGGCUUCCAUUUGGCCCAAAAUAUCAGAAUUUGGGGGUCAGAAAGCAACAAUGUUUCCCUUAGGAAUUGAAAUUAGGGUACUUUGGAAGACUUGGCCUUUGGUUGCACUUUUGGAAAGUUUGAGGAGAAAGCCAGUGAAGUGAGGACAGGGAAAGGAGAAAUGAAGGGAAGGACCAAAAAGGGGGAAGAGAUUCAUUUACUGUACACCAGCUGCGUGUCACAUUUUGCUCUUGGCUUUUCCAUGUAUACAAAUGCCACUUAAUCUUUUGAACACCACUGUUUGAGAGGGGUAGGCCUGCCCAUAUUUGCCUAGCCAGUAAGCAGCUGGUUGUAUUCCAGUCACAUGUGUCUGAUUUCAAACUUCAUUUUCUUCUGAGUUGUCAUCACCAACUAAAUACACAUGCAUAAACAAGUAUAUAUGUAUAUGUGUGAUUUAAAAAAUGUUAGUGGUGCUGGGGAAACUUCUAUAUUGUAGAUAUGGAUCUUCUAUAUUGUAGAUAUGGACUGUAACACUGAACUCCGUGUCCAGCCCCAUACAAUGCGAGUGUUACUAUUUCCCAUGUCUCCAAG
This 2460-nucleotide long non-coding RNA is filed under the name Cavia porcellus (domestic guinea pig). RNAcentral describes it as "lncRNA (ENSCPOG00000036917.1)". Lineage: Eukaryota; Metazoa; Chordata; Mammalia; Rodentia; Caviidae. The record is from RNAcentral.